ACGGAAAUAGCUCAAUGGUAGAGCAUAACUUUGCCAUAGUUGAGGUUGAGGGUUCGAAUCCCUUUUUCCGUU
RNAcentral lists this transfer RNA (72 nucleotides) under Ancoracysta twista. Its description in RNAcentral is "tRNA-Gly". It matches the Rfam family "tRNA". From Rfam's summary of the family: Transfer RNA (tRNA) molecules are approximately 80 nucleotides in length. Their secondary structure includes four short double-helical elements and three loops (D, anti-codon, and T loops). The record is from RNAcentral. Lineage: Eukaryota; Nebulidia; Nebulidea; Nebulidida; Ancoracystidae.